GACCAUUGUUUACAACAUGGCGUCCUUACGUGAAAGAGCUUUAUCUACGAAAACGUUAGUGUGUCUUCUUCAAGCGCUUCAAGAAAGAGAAACAACCGUGGAACUACGAAAUGAAGUAUCGAUUUUAGGAAGAAUAGAAAUAGUUGAUGGAUACAUGAACCUCACAAUGACUGAUGUGACUCUAACAACACCAAAUAAUGAACAGCAGAAAUAUGAAAGUUUUUUUGUUCAAGGGAAGCAAGUAAGAUUUGUCCAUAUUCCAGAUGACAUUAACAUCGUUGAAGCCAUUAAGAAACAACUGAAUCUCAUUCGUGGGCGUGGUCAAUAUAAGGAAAGGAAACAACACAAAAAAGCUUUAGCUCAAACACUAAAAAUCAGACAAGAGAAUUUACUGAUGAAAGAAAGACAGCAAGAAUCAUCGUGAUUGAGUCUGAGUUCUGAGGGUAUGAUAAGUGUGCCUGCAUGUGUACAAAGGAGAUGGGGCAAACUCCCCACUCUACCUGAAUGGUGCCCUAUCUUCUUCACACCUACAACCAAUGAAAACAUGAUCAAAGAAGAGAUGUUUUUUGCAGAUCAACAUGGCAAAGCACAUGUACUGGAGGUAUGUGUAUGAUUAGUCUUGUGCAGGAUUUUAGAGUAAUUCAUUUAAUAGUUAUAUGUGUAGUAUGAACACGAGCAGU
This 680-nucleotide unclassified non-coding RNA is filed under the name Limulus polyphemus (Atlantic horseshoe crab). Its description in RNAcentral is "U7 snRNA-associated Sm-like protein LSm10, transcript variant X1". The record is from RNAcentral. Lineage: Eukaryota; Metazoa; Arthropoda; Merostomata; Xiphosura; Limulidae.